RNAcentral lists this ribosomal RNA (577 nucleotides) under uncultured bacterium. RNAcentral describes it as "bacterial SSU rRNA". It matches the Rfam family "Bacterial small subunit ribosomal RNA", at positions 102 to 681 of the family's 1533-position model. The record is from RNAcentral.
ACGGGUGCGUAACACAUGAGUCAUCUGCCCAGAAGUGGGGAAUAGCUCGGCGAAAGCCGGAUUAAUACCGCAUGUGGUCGUAAGACCACAGCCGGGGCAACCUGGCGCUUUUGGAGGAGCUCGUGGCCUAUCAGCUAGUUGGUGAGGUAACGGCUUACCAAGGCAACGACGGGUAGCUGGUCUGAGAGGACGACCAGCCACACUGGAACUGAGAUACGGUCCAGACACCUACGGGUGGCAGCAGUCGAGAAUUUUUCUCAAUGGGGGAAACCCUGAAGGAGCGACGCCGCGUGGAGGAUGAAUGCUUUCGGGUUGUAAACUCCUGUCAUUUGGGAACAAGGCCUUACGUUAACUACGUGGAGGAUUGAUAGUACCAGAAGAGGAAGAGACGGCUAACUCUGUGCCGGCAGCCGCGGUAAUACAGAGGUCUCAAGCGUUGUUCGGAUUCAUUGGGCGUAAAGGGCGCGUAGGCGGCGGGGUAAGUCUGGUGUGAAAUCUAGGAGCUCAACUCCUAAACUGCACUGGAUACUGCUCUGCUGGAGGACUGGAGAGGAGACUGGAAUUCACGGUGUAGCAG